This is a long non-coding RNA of Mauremys mutica (yellowpond turtle), 543 nucleotides long. RefSeq lists it as uncharacterized. NCBI's taxonomy places the organism in Eukaryota, Metazoa, Chordata, Testudines, Geoemydidae. The transcript is spliced from 4 exons. The record is from RefSeq and is a predicted model, not a curated record.
GUGCCUGUGGAUGCAGCACACACCUGUGUAGGAGCCAGGGAGGGCCACGCCGCUGCUUCCAGGAGCUGCUUGAGAAGAGCAAAAGAAGCAGCAGUGGACUCGGGGGGGAGAUCCUGAUUGAAAGAGGUUUCUCCAGUAAGACCACUGGAACCUGAUGCUCAGUCCUGUCUGCAGGAUGCUGGGAGUCCACAACUACUUUCACCACAGAGGGAUGUUCUACGGGUCUCUGCUUGGAAGCAGCUUCAUGUCAUCCUGUGUGGGCAUCCCCUGUGCCAUCCCUGCUGGAAUCUGCAAAGGGCCCAUCACCACCAGAGAUGCUGAUCCUCAGCUGUUCCUCCAAGCUGUGGCUGCUGGAGGGGGCACUAUGGAGGGGCCUGCCUGAUACAUUGCCGGUGACAUGCCUCUUCCUGGGACGGGAACGGGAGCAGGGCACAAAGUGGAAGUUAGCUAAUGUAACGUCAAUAUUUUAAAAGGGCUCUAGAGGUGAUCCCGGCAAUUACGUCGAUACCAGGCAAAUUAGUCGAAACAAUAGUUAAGAAUAAA